UAGACAUAGAGAAAUAAAAAGAAGAAGCAGAAAAGUUGAAUGGAAUUUAUUAAGGUAAAAAAUGAAGAAGAAAUAAAACUCCAUUUGUGUAAUAUAAACACAGUU
This 105-nucleotide unclassified non-coding RNA is filed under the name Komagataella phaffii CBS 7435. Lineage: Eukaryota; Fungi; Ascomycota; Pichiomycetes; Pichiales; Pichiaceae. The record is from RNAcentral.